Molecule: transfer RNA, 72 nt
Filed under: Candidatus Woesearchaeota archaeon
Lineage: Archaea; Nanobdellati; Candidatus Woesearchaeota
Description: tRNA-Arg
Rfam family: tRNA
About the family: Transfer RNA (tRNA) molecules are approximately 80 nucleotides in length. Their secondary structure includes four short double-helical elements and three loops (D, anti-codon, and T loops). Further hydrogen bonds mediate the characteristic L-shaped molecular structure. tRNAs have two regions of fundamental functional importance: the anti-codon, which is responsible for specific mRNA codon recognition, and the 3' end, to which the tRNAs corresponding amino acid is attached (by aminoacyl-tRNA synthetases). tRNAs cope with the degeneracy of the genetic code in two manners: having more than one tRNA (with a specific anti-codon) for a particular amino acid; and 'wobble' base-pairing, i.e. permitting non-standard base-pairing at the 3rd anti-codon position.
Source: RNAcentral
GGGCCUGUGGUGUAAUGGAUAGCACAAUCGGCUUCGGACCGGUUAAUGGGGGUUCGAAUCCUCCCAGGCUCA